GGUGUGCUUUAUGCAUGCAAGUCGAACGAUGAAGCAGAGCUUGCUCUGUGAAUUAGUGGCAAACGGGUGAGUACAAGAUAGGCAACCUACCUCGAAGACGGGAAUAUACGGCAGAAAUGCCGGGCAAUAACCGAUAAUGUCUCUUCCUUCAAGGGUUGAGAAGAAAGGUGCAAACCGCUUUGAGACGGGCUUAUCUCCUAUCACGGCAGUUGGUAAGGUAACGGCUUACCAAACCUACGACGGGUAGCUGGUCUGAGAGGACGGUCAGCCACAUUGGGACUGAGACACGGCCCAGACUCCUACGGGAGGCAGCAGCCGGGAAUAUUCGGCAAUGGGCGAAAGCCUGACCGAGCGACACCGCGUGAGCGACGAAGGCCUUCGGGUCGUAAAGCUCUUUUAUUUGGGAAGAAUGCAUAGUAAUAUGUUUGACGGUACCAUUUGAAUAAGCCCCAGCUAACUACGUGCCAGCAGCUGCGGUAAUACGUAGGGGGCAAGCGUUAUCCGGAAUCACUGGGCGUAAAGGGUCCGCAGGUGUCCCGUUAAGUUAGAUGUUAAAUCGCAAGGCUCAACCUUGCGGCUGCAUCUAAUACUGACAGGAUAGAGGAUAGGUGACGGAAGUGGAAUUCCUGGUGGAGAGGUAAAAUCCGUAGAUAUCAGGAGGAACACCCGUGGCGUAGGCGGCUUCCGAACCUAUUCCUGACACUCAGGGACGAAAGCUAGGGGAGCAAACAGGAUUAGAUACCCUGGUAGUCCUAGCUGUAAACGAUGAAUACUAGAUAGUGGGUGCUACACCGUACUCACCGUCGUAGCUAACGCGUUAAGUAUUUCGCCUGGGAACUACGAU
Molecule: ribosomal RNA, 844 nt
Filed under: uncultured organism
Description: bacterial SSU rRNA
Rfam family: Bacterial small subunit ribosomal RNA
Source: RNAcentral